This 492-nucleotide ribosomal RNA is filed under the name uncultured bacterium. RNAcentral describes it as "partial 16S ribosomal RNA". It matches the Rfam family "Bacterial small subunit ribosomal RNA", at positions 29 to 507 of the family's 1533-position model. The record is from RNAcentral.
AGUGAACGCUGGCGGUAGGCCUAACACAUGCAAGUCGAACGGCAGCACAGUAAGAGCUUGCUCUUACGGGUGGCGAGUGGCGGACGGGAGAGGAAUACAUCGGAAUCUACUUUUUCGUGGGGGAUAACGUAGGGAAACCUACGCUAAUACCGCAUACGACCUACGGGUGAAAGCAGGGGAUCUUCGGACCUUGCGCGAUUGAAUGAGCCGAUGUCGGAUUAGCUAGUUGGCGGGGUAAAGGCCCACCAAGGCGACGAUCCGUAGCUCGUCUGAGAGGAUGAUCGGCCGCAUUGGAGCUUGGACACCGUCCAGAGUCCUACGGGAGGCCGCAGUGGGGUAUAUUGGACAAUGGGCGCAAGCCUGGUCCAGCCAUACCGCGUGGGUGAAGAAGGCCUUCGGGUUGUAAAGCCCUUUUGUUGGGAAAGAAAAGCAGCAGGUUAAUACCCCGCUGUUCUGACGGUACCCGAAGAAUAAGCACCGGCUAACUUCGUG